This 66-nucleotide transfer RNA is filed under the name Apsilochorema hwangi. RNAcentral's name for it is "tRNA-Glu". The record is from RNAcentral. Lineage: Eukaryota; Metazoa; Arthropoda; Insecta; Trichoptera; Hydrobiosidae.
UAUUUAUUAGUUUAAUUAAACCAUUACAUUUUCAAUGUAAAAAUAUAAUCUAUAUUAUAUAAAUAA